Molecule: transfer RNA, 90 nt
Filed under: Opitutales bacterium
Lineage: Bacteria; Pseudomonadati; Verrucomicrobiota; Opitutia; Opitutales
Description: tRNA-Ser
Rfam family: tRNA
About the family: Transfer RNA (tRNA) molecules are approximately 80 nucleotides in length. Their secondary structure includes four short double-helical elements and three loops (D, anti-codon, and T loops).
Source: RNAcentral
GGAGAGAUGGCAGAGUGGUCGAUUGCACCUGACUUGAAAUCAGGCAGCCUCGCAAGGGGCUCAGGGGUUCGAAUCCCUUUCUCUCCGCCA